GCAGCAGUGGGGAAUUUUGGACAAUGGGGGCAACCCUGAUCCAGCAAUGCCGCGUGAGUGAAGAAGGCCUUCGGGUUGUAAAGCUCUUUUGUCAGGGAAGAAACAGCAGCUCUAACACAGUUUGCGAAUGACGGUACCUGAAGAAUAAGCACCGGCUAACUACGUGCCAGCAGCCGCGGUAAUACGUAGGGUGCAAGCGUUAAUCGGAAUUACUGGGCGUAAAGCGUGCGCAGGCGGUUAUGUAAGACAGGCGUGAAAUCCCCGGGCUUAACCUGGGAAUUGCGCUUGUGACUGCAUAGCUAGAGUAUGUCAGAGGGGGGUAGAAUUCCACGUGUAGCAGUGAAAUGCGUAGAGAUGUGGAGGAAUACCAAUGGCGAAGGCAGCCCCCUGGGAUAAUACUGACGCUCAUGCACGAAAGCGUGGGGAGCAAACAGGAUUAGAUACCCUGGUAGUCCACGCCCUAAACGAUGCUGACUAGUUGUUCGGGAAUUUAUUCCUGAGUAACGUAG
Molecule: ribosomal RNA, 509 nt
Filed under: uncultured Polynucleobacter sp.
Lineage: Bacteria; Pseudomonadati; Pseudomonadota; Betaproteobacteria; Burkholderiales; Burkholderiaceae
Description: bacterial SSU rRNA
Rfam family: Bacterial small subunit ribosomal RNA
Source: RNAcentral